RNAcentral lists this non-coding RNA (73 nucleotides) under uncultured Eubacterium sp. RNAcentral describes it as "riboswitch". It matches the Rfam family "c-di-GMP-I riboswitch aptamer", at positions 7 to 79 of the family's 87-position model. From Rfam's summary of the family: GEMM was predicted in a large-scale screen for bacterial structured RNA regulatory elements. RNAcentral also lists the same sequence under 1 other name. Lineage: Bacteria; Bacillati; Bacillota; Clostridia; Eubacteriales; Eubacteriaceae. The record is from RNAcentral.
UAUGGGCAAACCUGUCGAAAGGCAGGGGCGCAAAGCCAGGUAUCUGCAGCGUUUUUAACGUAUGAUUGACCAG